This is a non-coding RNA of Drosophila virilis, 619 nucleotides long. The record is from RefSeq and is a predicted model, not a curated record. NCBI's taxonomy places the organism in Eukaryota, Metazoa, Arthropoda, Insecta, Diptera, Drosophilidae.
GACAAUGCUGGAAUGCACAAAAUUUGAGCAUUGCAAUUGUGAAAAUGAGCUCAAAUGAUUGAAUGUUCAUAAAUUUCGUGAUAAGCAACAAAAAAAUCAGGUUUUUAGCAUGCAAUUAACGUGGAACAGCAUUUUCAGCUGGCUUAACGCACAGCUGCUGCCAAUGGCUUCAACUUGGUUAAAUUGAACCUGAGACCCGCCCACUUCGAUGCCCACCACAGUGCUUAAUUGCACACAGCUAAAACAUGGGAGUUUUGUGGUCGUGGAGGCAACACUGUAAAUGAACAACAACAACAACAGCAACGAAAACAACAAGAGGAUAAACAACAACUUGAAGCGACAACUUUUUGUAUGAAUGCAAACGACAAAAUGCAACUCAGGGCAAAAGCAAACAAAACCAAAAAGGAUGCUCAGCCAAAAGCAGAAACAACAACAACAACAACAACAACAAGCGCACAAUCAAAGUUGGGAUGGUAAAAUAGUCGAAAUAGUCGACUAUGGCAUAAGCUGUAAAUUAAAAUGGACAUAAAAUGCGCUGUUUAUAAUGUUUUAAAAUUUCUAUACCAAAAAUUUGUUAUCGCCUAAAUAAAAUAAUACAGUAUACCCUCGUUUAACGCAA